This is a non-coding RNA of Paramuricea clavata, 346 nucleotides long. The record is from the annotation of a GenBank genome assembly. NCBI's taxonomy places the organism in Eukaryota, Metazoa, Cnidaria, Anthozoa, Malacalcyonacea, Plexauridae.
AUAAUUUCAUAGGUGAUUAUUUGGAAAAAAAUAAGAAAAUACACAUUUCUUCGUCAUUUAAUUGACAAAAAGGCUUCGGCCGCCAUUUUGAAAAUCGCUUAGGUGAUUAUCUCGUAAUAAUCACCUCGACGGCAACCAAUCAGCGUGGAGAAUUUUCAAUAAUCACCUAUGUAAUUAUACUAAAUAAGAAUAAUCUUACAGUGUUGUUUAAUUACUUUAGUUAAUUUACUGUUAAUUAGGGAGCGGUCAUUAUUUAUGGUGGGGGGUGGCACCGAAGAGAAAUGUUUUUCAUGGGAAAAAUUUUGCUGACCCAACCAUUAAAAAGUCAAAAAUUUGAUUACCCAAC